Molecule: ribosomal RNA, 791 nt
Filed under: uncultured bacterium
Lineage: Bacteria
Description: bacterial SSU rRNA
Rfam family: Bacterial small subunit ribosomal RNA
Source: RNAcentral
GAACGGAACCUUUCGGGGUUUAGUGGCGGACGGGUGAGUAACGCGUGAGAAUCGGCCCUCAGGUUGGGGACAACCAUUGGAAACGGUGGCUAAUACCGAAUAAGCCGAAAGGUGAAAGAUUAAUUGCCUGGGGAAGAGCUCGCGUCUGAUUAGCUAGUUGGUGGGGUAAAGGCCUACCAAGGCACCGAUCAGUAACUGGUCUGAGAGGAUGGCCAGUCACACUGGGACUGAGACACGGCCCAGACUCCUACGGGAGGCAGCAGUGGGGAAUUUUCCGCAAUGGGCGAAAGCCUGACGGAGCAAUACCGCGUGGGGGAGGAAGGCUCUUGGGUCGUAAACCUCUUUUCUCAGGGAAGAAAUAAAUGACGGUACCUGAGGAAUCAGCAUCGGCUAACUCCGUGCCAGCAGCCGCGGUAAUACGGAGGAUGCAAGCGUUAUCCGGAAUGAUUGGGCGUAAAGCGUCCGCAGGUGGCAGUGUAAGUCUGCUGUCAAAGGUCAGGGCUUAACCCUGAACAGGCAGUGGAAACUACACAGCUAGAGUGCGGUGGGGGCAGAGGGAAUUCCCAGUGUAGCGGUGAAAUGCGUAGAGAUUGGGAAGAACACCGGUGGCGAAAGCGCUCUGCUAGGCCGUAACUGUCACUCAUGGACGAAAGCUAGGGGAGCGAAUGGGAUUAGAUACCCCAGUAGUCCUAGCCGUAAACGAUGGAUACUAGGCGUAGCUCGUAUCGACCCGAGCUGUGCCGUAGCUAACGCGUUAAGUAUCCCGCCUGGGGAGUACGCUCGCAAGAGUG